Molecule: long non-coding RNA, 1669 nt
Organism: Mus musculus (house mouse)
Lineage: Eukaryota; Metazoa; Chordata; Mammalia; Rodentia; Muridae
Product: RIKEN cDNA 1700081B01 gene
Exons: 5
Source: RefSeq, a predicted model, not a curated record
UAAAACACGUUAAUUCCAGUUUCCUCCUUACGGUCAACUGACUUACUCUGACAAGUAUUACAGUAACACUUAACCAGUCUCCUAGAGUAGCCCAGACCUGUCUGAAGCCCUCAGACACCACGGAAGACCUUUCUUCCUCAGAGAAAACAGGCACUGGCGUGUGGCAGGGAACAAGCCCACCCUGAGGUCCAAGCCUGGCUGUCACAGCACCCUAGCUGUUAAUGCCCUUCUGAGUAGAACAGAUGGGGUAGAACCCCACAGAGUGUUCUAUUUCACAUGUAGAUGGGUGCCUGGCAACCAGGAUGCACCACCAAGGAGGCUGGGCUGAGGAGGAGAACCCAGCCUUUCUAAAGCCAAGGCACACCAGAAUUGAGACUAUUUUGGUAGCACCCUGAGGGUGUUGUACGAGGCCCCUGGAGUGUAGAAGGACCCACUGAGGAUCCAGCAACCCUUGACAGAAUGGCCUAAGUUUAGAUAGGACCAGUGCUCUGUCGUGAAUGGAGUGAGAACCAAAACCUCCAGGAUGCAUCCAGCGGUGUGUUUCCACGGGGAUUAUAAAUCCAGUCCAGUUGACAAUAAAGGUUAGCCACCACUCGGCCAUCACACUCCCACUUGGCACUUCCUUCCAUUCUGAGCACACCAGAAUCGUCCUUGGGGCUGAUGGCCCCACGAAACAGAAUUGUUCCAGGGACGAAGCCUUUGAUGGAUUGGCUGCUCUGCUGGCUGCUUUGGUAGAAUGGGUCAUAAAUAUUAACAGGCUGACAAACAUGUCAUGUCACACCUGUGACCAAGAAACACCCAGGCUUCUACCACUUUGUUCUUUUGAUAGACACCAUCUCCUUCUCUCCUGAACUUGCUCUGAUGGGUCUAUUCCUCCACCACCCUCCUCAGAGGACCAGGGUUCAGUUCCCAACACCCCUAUCAGGUGCUGGAAAGAUAGAUGUCACCAAGUCCUCCGGCACCCUUCAUCCUCUGAUGAGGAAAUCAGCAGCAGUCCAAUGUGCAAAUACAAUCUACUAGACCUGCCCUUCCUCUGCCUUUCCUCUGAAAAGGGAAGUUGGAUUUCCACAGUAUGAAGGUACAAUUCUGUCAAAUUUGCCUAAUGAGCAGUGCACAGAAAUGGAACUGAGAAACCUCAUUUUGAGAAAAGGAAACACCGAUGUGUGACAAGGGAUUAAAGAUGAGGAUCAGAUAACAAUGAAAUCCCGCCAGGGGCUUGGAGGAUAAAAGCCACCAAUUGACCUGAAAUGACAGGAUGGAAGGGGACAUCUGAGGCAAGUCGAUUCUUGACAUCCUGCACUAAUGAGGGACUCUGGGGUGAAGUGAUGGUCAUCGUGAGAAAAUGAUCAUUGGCAUCUUUAGUCUCUCAGCCACCAGGAAGAGCCCAAAGCAUUCUGGGAACAAAGUAUCACCUGGCAGAGUUUCAAUAUCCAAACAAAUAUGGAUUUGCAACUUUAGUUUUCAACCACAAGACAAGCAUGUGCAAAGCCAAUUCCUUUGACAAUUGUUUCAUCCAGGGCUGGAGGGAUGGUUCAGUGGUUACAGAGCUACAUGGUUCUUGCAGAGGAGCAUGAAUUUGGUUUCCAGCCCCUUGCCAAGUAGCUCAGGACAGUAUGUAACUCCAGGCUCCAGGGGACCCAACGAAUUAAAUCAAAGACACAGUGGCACA